This 89-nucleotide transfer RNA is filed under the name Schizophyllum amplum. RNAcentral describes it as "Auriculariopsis ampla tRNA". It matches the Rfam family "tRNA". From Rfam's summary of the family: Transfer RNA (tRNA) molecules are approximately 80 nucleotides in length. Their secondary structure includes four short double-helical elements and three loops (D, anti-codon, and T loops). The record is from Rfam by way of RNAcentral. Lineage: Eukaryota; Fungi; Basidiomycota; Agaricomycetes; Agaricales; Schizophyllaceae.
GGCACGAUGGCCGAGUGGUUAAGGCGUGAGACUUGAAUUUCAAUAUCUCAUCCCCUUUGGGGACGUAGGUUCGAACCCUGCUCGUGUCG